RNAcentral lists this ribosomal RNA (347 nucleotides) under uncultured bacterium. RNAcentral's name for it is "bacterial SSU rRNA". It matches the Rfam family "Bacterial small subunit ribosomal RNA", at positions 72 to 422 of the family's 1533-position model. The record is from RNAcentral.
CGCGGGAGCAAUCCUGGCGGCGAGCGGCGGACGGGUGAGCAACGCUUGGGAAUCUGCCUAUCAGUGGGGGACAACCCGGGGAAACUCGGGCUAUUACCGCAUACGUUCUUCGGAAGAAAGCAGGGGAUCGCAAGACCUUGCGCUGAUAGAUGAGCCCAAGCCGGAUUAGCUAGUUGGUGAGGUAAAGGCUCACCAAGGCGACGAUCCGUAGCUGGUCUGAGAGGACGACCAGCCACACCGGAACUGAGACACGGUCCGGACUCCUACGGGAGGCAGCAGUGGGGAAUAUUGGACAAUGGGGGCAACCCUGAUCCAGCGACGCCGCGUGGGUGAAGAAGGCCUGCGGG